This 857-nucleotide ribosomal RNA is filed under the name Calcarisporium andense. RNAcentral's name for it is "Neobaryopsis andensis partial large subunit ribosomal RNA". It matches the Rfam family "Eukaryotic large subunit ribosomal RNA", at positions 23 to 912 of the family's 3401-position model. Lineage: Eukaryota; Fungi; Ascomycota; Sordariomycetes; Hypocreales; Calcarisporiaceae. The record is from RNAcentral.
ACCCGCUGAACUUAAGCAUAUCAAUAAGCGGAGGAAAAGAAACCAACAGGGAUUGCCCCAGUAACGGCGAGUGAAGCGGCAACAGCUCAAAUUUGAAAUCUGGCCCCCAGGGUCCGAGUUGUAAUUUGGAGAGGAUGCUUUUGGUGCGGUGCCUUCCGAGUUCCCUGGAACGGGACGCCAUAGAGGGUGAGAGCCCCGUCUGGUCGGAUGCCAAACCUCUGUAAAGCUCCUUCGACGAGUCGAGUAGUUUGGGAAUGCUGCUCAAAAUGGGAGGUAUAUGUCUUCUAAAGCUAAAUAUUGGCCAGAGACCGAUAGCGCACAAGUAGAGUGAUCGAAAGAUGAAAAGCACUUUGAAAAGAGGGUUAAAUAGUACGUGAAAUUGUUGAAAGGGAAGCACUCAUGACCAGACUUGGGCCCGGUGAAUCAUCCAGCGUUCUCGCUGGUGCACUUUGCCGGCCCAGGCCAGCAUCAGUUCGUCGCGGGGGAAAAAGGCUUCGGGAACGUGGCUCCCUCGGGAGUGUUAUAGACCGUUGCAUAAUACCCUGCCUCGGACUGAGGUUCGCGCUCCGCAAGGAUGCUGGCGUAAUGGUCAUCAGUGACCCGUCUUGAAACACGGACCAAGGAGUCGUCCUCGUAUGCGAGUGUUCGGGUGUCAAACCCCUACGCGUAAUGAAAGUGAACGCAGGUGAGAGCUUCGGCGCAUCACCGACCGAUCCUGAUGUUCUCGGAUGGAUUUGAGUAAGAGCAUACGGGGCCGGACCCGAAAGAAGGUGAACUAUGCCUGUAUAGGGUGAAGCCAGAGGAAACUCUGGUGGAGGCUCGCAGCGGUUCUGACGUGCAAAUCGAUCGUCAAAUAU